UACAGAGGGUGCAAGCGUUAAUCGGAAUUACUGGGCGUAAAGCGCAUGUAGGCGGUUUUUUAAGUCAGAUGUGAAAGCCCCGGGCUCAACCUGGGAAUUGCAUUUGAAACUGGGGAACUAGAGUGUGUGAGAGGGGGGUAGAAUUCCAAGUGUAGCGGUGAAAUGCGUAGAGAUUUGGAGGAAUACCAGUGGCGAAGGCGGCCCCCUGGCACAACACUGACGCUCAGGUGCGAAAGCGUGGGGAGCAAACAGG
RNAcentral lists this ribosomal RNA (253 nucleotides) under uncultured bacterium. RNAcentral describes it as "partial 16S ribosomal RNA". It matches the Rfam family "Bacterial small subunit ribosomal RNA", at positions 524 to 776 of the family's 1533-position model. The record is from RNAcentral.